GAGGGUAUAUCUCAAGGGGUAGUGAGCAUGCUUAGCAUGCACGAGGUCCUGGGUUCAAUCCCCAGUACCUCA
This 72-nucleotide transfer RNA is filed under the name Camelus bactrianus (Bactrian camel). It matches the Rfam family "tRNA". From Rfam's summary of the family: Transfer RNA (tRNA) molecules are approximately 80 nucleotides in length. Their secondary structure includes four short double-helical elements and three loops (D, anti-codon, and T loops). Further hydrogen bonds mediate the characteristic L-shaped molecular structure. tRNAs have two regions of fundamental functional importance: the anti-codon, which is responsible for specific mRNA codon recognition, and the 3' end, to which the tRNAs corresponding amino acid is attached (by aminoacyl-tRNA synthetases). tRNAs cope with the degeneracy of the genetic code in two manners: having more than one tRNA (with a specific anti-codon) for a particular amino acid; and 'wobble' base-pairing, i.e. permitting non-standard base-pairing at the 3rd anti-codon position. RNAcentral also lists the same sequence under 1 other name. The record is from Rfam by way of RNAcentral. Lineage: Eukaryota; Metazoa; Chordata; Mammalia; Artiodactyla; Camelidae.